This 116-nucleotide ribosomal RNA is filed under the name Gordonia sp. CNJ-863. Lineage: Bacteria; Bacillati; Actinomycetota; Actinomycetes; Mycobacteriales; Gordoniaceae. The record is from RNAcentral.
UACGGCGGCCAUAGCGGAGGGGAAACGCCCGGCCCCAUUCCGAACCCGGAAGCUAAGCCUCCAGCGCCAAUGGUACUGCACCUUAAUCAGUGUGGGAGAGUAGGACACCGCCGAAC